GACGAACGCUGGCGGCGUGCUUAACACAUGCAAGUCGAACGGAAAGGCCCUGCUUUUGUGGGGUGCUCGAGUGGCGAACGGGUGAGUAACACGUGAGUAACCUGCCCUUGACUUUGGGAUAACUUCAGGAAACUGGGGCUAAUACCGGAUAGGAGCUCCUGCUGCAUGGUGGGGGUUGGAAAGUUUCGGCGGUUGGGGAUGGACUCGCGGCUUAUCAGCUUGUUGGUGGGGUAGUGGCUUACCAAGGCUUUGACGGGUAGCCGGCCUGAGAGGGUGACCGGCCACAUUGGGACUGAGAUACGGCCCAGACUCCUACGGGAGGCAGCAGUGGGGAAUAUUGCACAAUGGGCGGAAGCCUGAUGCAGCAACGCCGUGUGCGGGAUAACGGCCUUCGGGUUGUAAACCGCUUUCGCCUGUGACGAAGCGUGAGUGACGGUAAUGGGUAAAGAAGCACCGGCUAACUACGUG
Molecule: ribosomal RNA, 468 nt
Filed under: uncultured bacterium
Lineage: Bacteria
Description: partial 16S ribosomal RNA
Rfam family: Bacterial small subunit ribosomal RNA
Source: RNAcentral